AGUAAGAAUUGGAAUAAGGCUGUACUGAAGCUCCAUCAAGUCCAGCAUCUUGUCUCCAACAGCAGGCAAUGAGCUAUCAGGUAGCCAAGCAGGCCAAGGUGCUGCAUUCAAACUGCAGUGUGCACUGGAGGUGCACGUCGAAAUCUCAUUUUUAACAGGUCCCUGGUUCCUCUUUUAUCAUCAGUGUGCUAGAUGGUGCUGGCGUUGCCAGGACUAGGGAUAUCUUGGACCACAGUUUGCAGAUUUCAGUGGACUCUCCGUUGCUCACCCUCCAUGUGGGGUCAUCCAUGCUGCCUUCUCCAGAAGGUAAGGAGCAGAUUAUUGCCUGCUGUCUCUACUGAAUUCUGCAGCAGUAGUCCCCUCAUAGUCCCAGCCUUGCAGAGCUCCUUCUUGGACCUUGCAUCUCCUUACCACACCCGGCCAGGAACUGUUUUAAUAGAGAUUUAACGUUCAGCUGGUCUGCCCCCAAAUCAUGCUGUGGAAAUACUUCCUCCUCCUGGUGGUCCUCUCUCUUUUCUCUUGCCUGUACAUCCUCCCUAGACACGCAUGCUAUGGGACUUCUUACAUUGGAAGAGAAUGAAGGAUCCCAGCAGGUCACCUUGUACUCCUAGCUGAUCGCAUGGCCCACCAGGAAUGUAAGUCAGGAAAUCCUCCUGGGAGCAGCCUGUGCUCACAGCAGGUCUCACAGGGUGCGCUGACCAUUGUGGACCAGCUGGGGACCUGACCCUGCACGCAGACCAACUGUGCCAAGCUGCGGCCCCUCUCCUGGUGCCUCCAAGACCUCUUGUUGUGAGGUGGGUUUUUUUAUACCUUCCCCAUCUGAGAUCUUACUGAGUCAUGGGACUUCCUGAUCAACUUCCCCCACCACCCCCAGCAGCAGAAAGAGGAAGCCUGGGGACAGGGUCCUGGUGACUGCAGGGCCUAUAUCCAUUCCCUUUUCCUCUCAGGUCUCCUGGUACGGCACCAGUGGGCACUGUCCACUGGCUUCUCAGAUGCCUUCAGGGUGGUGUGCCCAGCAUUCCCCUCUGGUUCCCUAUCCGUGGUGCCUGACCCUUUGACCUUGAUCUUCCUCUCUUCUCCCCUUUGUUGUUCCCCGCGAUCAUCUGGCUUUCCCCAGGUCUUUCAAAGAGCAUAAGAUCAGUGCAGGCAUGUACUGACACUUCAACAGAAUACUUGUCCAGCCUGAAAAGAGUUAAGGCAACUCACCCCUAUUAUGUGUAAUAACUUUGUGCCUUCACUGAAUUGUCUUCUCACCAUAUGCCCUCUUUUCCAGUUCAUUUAUAAAUAGGUUAAACAGCAGGAACCCAGGAACAAAACCCCCUCAAACAUCACUGGAGACCUCCCUCAAAUGUGAACACUGGCCAUUUAUCCUCCUCUUUUAAUAGGUUAUUCACAUUAAGAGUUUUUCUCUUGUCCCACGGUGCCUUAAUUUCUUUCAGAGCCAUUACUGAUGGACCUUUACGUCUUUGGAAAUUGUUGCUGGGAUUCUAUAUGGCUGACCUUGUUGUGGUUUUCAUUUAACUUGCCAGAGUUUAUGAUCCUUUCUAUUUCCAUUCUUGGACACAACUUCUAUUUUCUGAAGAAAGUCUUCUGCUUCUAAUAAAUUCCUUUAUCCUGCUGUUAGCCAUGUCAGCUUUCCUUUUGGUCCUUCCAAAGUGUUUGUCCAUACACAGAGGCUUAAAGCAAAUGUGCUCCUACAUGUUAUGUUUAAAUAGUCACCAUACAAACAUUUUAGCCUUCAGGCAUCCAUUUUAGUUUCUUUUUAACAAGGUUCCUUGUUACUAUGUAAUUCUAUUGUAUUUGGGGAUUUUUUGGCUUUUCUUCCCUAGGCAAUGUUGAGCAGGAACAUUUUGAACCAGGUUCUGUGUUGCUCCGGGCUAAUAUAAAAGUUUCGUUGUCUUUUGUAGGCUCUUUCAUGCAGCAACACUAUUUUCUUUUUCUGCAGCAUCAAUCCUCGAUGUGACAUUUGCCCAGUAUGCAGGUGGGGAAUUGAUAUCUGUUACUGUUGCAUUCCUUGCCCUGUCAGCAACUCUGAUCUCCCUCAGCAUGUAAUAGAUGCAGACAUUUGAUCUAACCCUGAUACGGCAUAUUUAUGACUUAGACCAGGAAUGUCAGGCUAUAUAGGUUUUGAACUGCUUGUAAACACAAUUAGCUUGUAACUUUGAUUUGGCACAAACCUUUCUCUAAUACAUGUUACCACUUCUCUACUGCUGUUGCCUCCUCUGCCUUUUGUCAUACUUUGCACGCUGAUUCUAGAGCAUCUGAUCAAUUGCCUUCUUCCCAUCAAGUUUUUGAUAUAUAUAGUAUAAGAUCAUCCCUCUUUAAAGUCAGGCAUUUUUGUUUCUCCAUCUUGUUUGUUAGACUACUAGCAUUUAUAAAGAAGCAUCUUUUCUUUCUCUCUCUCUGUGCUAUGGGAUUCCUUUUCUUUGAUUAUUCUUCAUCCUUUCUUUUUAAGUUUCACCAAAUUAUUGUUAUUCACUGGAGGACAAAGUUUUCCUGACUUUCUGCUCUGAAUAUGUGCCAUUCUGAAUCAUAUUUUAGCACUUGUCAACUUCUCCCUUCCUUCAAUUUAAAAAAAAUCUCCUAACACCUUUUUAAGUGCCAUCAGUGGUUUCAUUUUAGUUUACCUGAAUCUGACUACAUACAUUCUGAAAGUUUUCCCAUUUACUAACAAGUUCAAAUCCUUUGUCUUCAACCAUUUCCUAGCCACUCAUUGAGAAUUUGUCUCUGUUUCUCCCAGUUCAGCCCUGCUCAUGAUAUUGGAGGCAUUCCAGCUGAAGCUACUAUGGAGCUCCUGGCCUCCAGCUUACCAUCUGACUGCAUUUUGCCUGCAGGAACCCUCUUCUCCCUUCCCAAGGUCAUUGCUCCAUACAGUAUCCAAAGGCUCCCUUAAGCCUUCCCCAAAAGCCUGCCCAGAUAUUCCACACCAUCCAGCAAGCAGAUACUGCAUCCAGCAGUCUAACCACCAUGCAGUCUUUUCUGGUAUCAUGAAACUGCAUGGAUGUAUGCCUGAUAAAGCAUCAGAGUCCCUCUACCACUGUAUCUUCCUGAAAACUGGGAUGUGAAGAGUAAUCUCAGUGCAAAAGCAUAUGUGGCCUCAAGCUGUGAGAUCAUUUCUGCGUGUGCCGCCCCCCUUCCCCCCCCCCCCCCCAGGGUAAGACUUCCAGCCAUAAAGCCUUCCCCCACCUCAGCAGCAUGGGGACUGUAUAAGCCUGGAGGUAGGACUGCUCAGUGAUGGUCCUAAAGACACUGCCAGUGCAUUUGUUUGUUACCCUGAAAUCUUUUAGUUCAGGUGUCAGGGCCUCAAGGACUAGGAUGUUGGGCUAAUUGCACUGGAUACGCAUAGUCAUUACCUAUGAACUGAGUAGAUAAUGAUUUAUAGUGGUCAGUGGAGCAAACUGAGGACUCCUUGCCCACUCACUAUUUAAAUACCCAGCUGGUGCUUUAGUUUGCUUAUGAUUAGGAGAGUUCUGAUGGGCUCUAUCCCCAGCUCCAGGCACAGAUCCCUGAAAGAGGAGCCAUUCAGAUACCUAAAACAAGGAGACAGGCAAACCCUCCUUCUGGCAGAUCUCCUUUUACACCACCCAGCACCGCCGGUUUGGACCUGCUGUGAUCCCACGAUUGGAAGGACAUUUUACAAACAUUUCGGUUCAAAUGCCCUGAGCAGAGGCGUUCCACAGGAGUCAGAAAUGCUUUCAAAGUAAGGAUCUACCGCCUGAGAGCUCCACACUCAUGGAAGACAAGACGACUCACGAAGCAACAGCAAAACAGAGAGCAGCAACACCCAACAAAGACUGUGAAGCACCAGGUGUGUAGUUGCUGCUGGAACAGCUGCUUCAUGGGAGGUAGCCUAGGAUGGAGCCCAGCCUGCCUGGAGAUGAGGGACCAGAGCAACUGGACAAGGGAGCAUGCUCAUCUGAGUUCCCAUAAAGUCCCUGGGAAUGACUUUCUUCAGAACAGUAGGACACCAGGCUCUCCCCGCAGCCUCCCUCAUUCCUUCAGCUCAGGGCUCUGCACACAAGCUGUCGUCAGCAAAACCUUUAGUAACCAUGCUGAUGCACGUAAGAGAUGGAAAGGGGAACCGCUGUUUCUUGAGGGGGAGGCUGAGGAAACAGGUGACGCGUGGUGGGAGGAUGAGCAGUGAGAAAUGGAGAAAUGAAAAAUAGAAAGUUUUCGCUAGAGCUGUGACAAAUAUAGCUCUUCUAAGUGUAAUGGAACUAGACGGCCCACUAGAGUGGGCAGAGACAACUUGGUGGCCUUUUAAAAGAGGAAGGAGUGACAAAUAUGUGAAGAUACUAAACUGACCUAUAACCUGAGAGCCCUGACUCUCAAGCUUUCGGGGUUCACGCUGAGGUGAUUUUAAGAAGCUACUGGUCCAAAUUACCCACCCAUUGCCACAGGUUAUUGCCCCAUUACUGACUUGUCAGAAAUAGCAGUGUGCCUACACCAUAGGCACCAGACUGAUAUACUGACAUAAACUGAGGUGACUGUGGCUAAUUCAGUUCACUAGGAUGUGGACUGUGGUGGCCAAGGCAUCUCCUUCUUGAUCCCUAUCAGAUCUAGUUGAAUAGGUGAUCAGCUGAGGUCAGAAACCUCCUGAGCCAUCACAGCCUAAGUUGACAAGCACCAAGAGUUGCCAAGAGAGCACCAGGAGAGCCUUGACACCAUUUUAGCCAAUUUGCUUGUCUUUAGACCUCCUUUUCUCUGCUUUUCACAAAUUCCUUUGUUGCCCUAGCUUGCAGAAGGUUUACAAAAGCACUGUAAGCUCGUUCUUUUGGUCUGUUGUCUUUCCCCUAGGGAGCCGAGUGCCAGACCAAGUAGCACAGACAGGAUGUAAUCCCUUGACAUGGUUUAGCAAAGAGCACUGGUAGCUUUAUAGCAUGGCUGUCAGGGUGCAGCGAGGGCCGGGGAGAAAUCCCAGGGUGGCAAGGCAGGGCCUGGCACCCGGGGCCUGUCCCACCGCCCUGGCCAGGGCAGCCUGGGCAGAGGCAGCCCCAGCUCCGGGCAGCCGGCACCUCCAUGGGGAUGGGAAUGGGCCCACGGCCAGGCAGGGCAGGGCUUUGGGGAGCUGGAGACCGGCCCUGCUGUGGCAUCAUGGGGCAGGGAUCCACAGCCCCGGGUGGCUGAAAUGGGGUCCUGGGCUCUGGGCAGCGUGGGGGGAGCCCCAGGAGAGCUGGGGCAGGGACAGGCAGGGCUGGUGGUGCCCUCAGGGCCCUGACAAUGUCAUUGUCCAAGACUGACAGUUUUGAUCAUCUCUGCUCAUAUUAAGGAACUACAGAGGAAAACCUCCUCCAAGAAAUGUGUUGCAAAACUAAGCUUAAUCCACUGUAAUUGAAGUUCUUUAUUGUUACCUUGGUCAUGUGCUCUGAUAACCACAGUGCAAAUUACCACUGCAGAGCUGAAAAGAUGCCUUACACUUGGUGCCAGGUUUGCACUGCUUCUGGAGAUUUGGUUUAGUUCAGGCUACAGCGAUCCCUGCACAUGCUAGGAGGAGCUGCUAAUGAAUGGCAAGUAGUCCCACGAGAAUCACGACUAAUGGCUCCCGCUCAGUUAGAUAAUCAACCAUUUAAUAAAGGGUGAGCUUCUACCUCUUCCCUUCCAUGGGGAGCAUUAAUGCAUUAUUUUUCCCCUCCUUAGCCACUUAUUUCCACAAAAGUGGUAGGAAUGUAAUAUUUUUGAAACCACUCUUCCUCUAUUAAUCUUAGCUAAAAUUGCCCCAUGGAUUCAAAAGUUAUUAGGAAGAGCUAGAUGGUUGUACAGAUGUUGACAGACAGACACAAAGCAUUGUUGUAUUAAGAAAGCACUCAAGUUUAUACCAACACAGAUUUUUUAAAUCACGUUAACAUCCAGCAGAUAGCUACUAGUAUGAGGAUUAUGUUUCAUUUCUACACAAGUCUCACUAACAGCCUAAGAAGCUAAAGGAGCUCAGAAAGAAGCGGCCAUUGCUUAGACUUCAUGCCUUGAUGGUCUUCUCUGGGAAGGAGUGAUCGCACUUUCAGGACUUUGCAGGAGGGCUUGCAUAAAUACUCUUCAGAGACUAAAAGUUUUGCUUUGCGCAUCCGAUUCCAGAUCUUUCAAAGCUGCAAUUAUCAUCUUUCUCCUCUCCAACAUUUUAUAAAUUAAACCCUCUCUUACUCCGUCCACUUCCUAUGUUAGCCUUUCCCUUCUCAUACCUUGAGACUUGAAGGAGCAGAGGUUGCUGCUCUUACUGAUGCUGAGCUUCUCAAUAGCUAAAAAGCCAUAUUGCUUUAUGUGAGUAUUUGUUUCUCAGGGAAGUUCAAGCUUUAGAUAUAAACAUUUGUGAGUAAUUUCUCCUUAGGACUAUUUAAAAUAUAAUGAGAUCUACAUUUUAUAUUGAUUUGAGCUUUGGUUUACUUGUUCAUGUAUUUUUUAAAAAGAACAGAUGCUGCUUGAAUGUUUCCUAUGAGGCAGAUUAUGAGGCAGAUUAAACACACUCUAGAGAGCACACCUGAGCCAAAGGUCAAUCUUUCUCAGCAAGCCAGCCAGCAACAAAUGGCUCCAUGGUUUCACAAUUUUGGUAAUGAAGGCUUAUAAAGUAGACUAUAAAGAAAUUAUUUUUAUUUAUUUUUAUUUAACUGUCUACAAACUACUGAAACACAUGUUUUGAAAAUUUUUGCUCUAGUAGCCUGCAGAGGAUAGCAUCUGGUUUUCUACCUACAGUAUUAUUUAAUUUGGAAAAUUCCAAGUCUUCCAAUAAAUUGGUCUGGCAGCUUUCACUGUAGAAUCACAAGUUGAGUGGUUUCCACUGCCAGCCAUACCUACAGUUCUGCCCUUCUGAGAAGUGUAUUUCUCGCAAGACUUAAGCUUCUUUCAAUUAAAGUCUGAAAUGGCUUUGUCGUAUCUGUGGGCCACUGUACUUGUUGUAAAGAACCUCAUUUAACUAAUCUCACUGCCAUUGCCUUUAAAAUGAUGGUGUUCAUGCCCAGGACAAGCACUCUGUUUCUUCCAUGAGAGGCUUGGUUACCUCAGAGAGUUGUGCCAAUUAUGUCAGGGAAAAAUAAUCUCUUCAAAACUCUCCAUGCUAGCCCUAAGCAGAGUAGUAAAAACAGAUUGGUGAAAUAAAAGCUGUGAUCUGUCACCAUGUAUGGCCAAGAGGAAUUACUGAAAAGCUCAUUGUGUUCCCUCCUCACCCUCUGAAUCACUCUGGGUAUUACAGUUUAGUCGAUGUAUUUCAAAGGCAGAAGAGAAAUCAAUGUUGCAUCAGUGUUCAAAAUGUCAAAGCCACCCAAACAAGCAGUGGAUGUGUCACUUGUUUGUGAUGAUCUCUACUAAAAGAUUAUUCUGUAAACUAUCUUAAGCUAAAACUCUAGUUUGUUUAUCUUCAGAAAGGAACUGGGCAGUUUUGUGGGGGGAUGAAGGGAGAAAGUAAUGCUUUUUUUUCAGGAAGAGUUUUUUACUGCUAUUCAUCCAAAGACAGAGCAACUGUUAGUUGGUCCGUUUGAGUGAUUUUGUUAAAUGAAGGUGGGGAAUAACAAGUCACAGGAAGCCUGGCCAUGUUUCCAGGGGAGAACAGAGCAUUUGUCUCCUAUCUAUCUAAAGUGGCCAACCGAAAUGGCAAAGUCCCUCAGCAAAAAAGCAGAAUUAUAUGAAUUUAAAAAUACCACAAGCAUUUCAGUACAUAGCUACACAUGCCAUGGAAACUGAGACAUUUCCUACUGACAGUGGAAGCAGAAUGUUUAUAUUAUAAACUAUUCUUGAUGGCUCUGAAUGAUAAAUGUCAAAAACAAGUGAUCGUAGAGGGAAAUCUAUUCUAGCAGAAUUCUAAAUCUGCUCUGAAAAGCAUAUUCAGACUGAAGAAAUUGAUGGAACCGGUAUUUUACAGAAGCCCUUUGUUUUCUCCUUUCAUCUACAGUUUCUAAAUACAGACCUGUAAUAUUUUUCCCAUGGGUUUGGAAGAUCUGCAUUUCUCCUGAGAUGACUUCCUAAUUCUUUCAACCACCACUUCACCCUUGUUACUCAUCUGUGCUGAUAUUUCACCUUUCUAAAGUUUUGAAUCAAGGCAUUAUCUGUGUGAAAUGUCUGGUCAAGCAGUUACAGAUUACAAAAGCUCAUGUCUGUGGCUCUUCAUCUGGUAGAGAUGGGAGGUAAGAGGGACCAGGCAGUCAGAGAAAAGGGCCUAAGUAUCUCUAAUCUUCUCUACUCUCCUUUAUUCUCUGCCUUAGGAAUGAUUGCACUUCAGAAUGAGGAUCACAGGGAAAUAUUUUUUUUCUGUCUUUUCUGAAGUCUUCACUAGCUGUAGUUGCUUUAGGAUUCCCCAAGAUGAUAUCUGAGUAUAAAUCAUUUCUAAAUUUUUAUUAAAAAUUGAUGCAAGAGAGAGCAGUGAGAACAAAAUUGGGAUCUUAGUCUAAAUUCUGUUCAGUUUCUGUUUUUCAGUUACUCUGGGUAUAAAAUGUGAAAAAAUAUAGAAGUGGAUAAUCCGAUUUUGUUUCAGAAGUAAGUGUUUUAUUGUUCAGUGUAGAAGUGUAUACUCUACUUACACAAAAGAAGAGUUGUGAAUCUGUGAAUCUGGUUGUUGAAUCUUCACUGGGAUUUUAUUUUCCACCAGUUUUCAUUUCCACAUUUCAUUUCCUUCCUGGUCCUGUGUGCCACGUAUCCAAAUCUCUGUGUGACCAAACGCAACGAUACACGGGCCAUGUGGUUUGAAGAAAGAAAUGGGGAGAUGGGGUGGGGACCCUAGAUUCAGAUUAUCCACCAGCAAAGUGCCCCAGCAGCCACAGACUUAGCCUUGGCCCUGUGCCGCACGCACUUGCCGCUCCUGAGUUAGUUGGUUUAGUUGAAGAGGCCAGAGCUGUGCUUCCACCGUCAAAGGUCAAGAUCACUGAUGGGUGCCAGUGGUCCCUCUGAAGACCCUAAUGAAAGUAAGGCUACAGGCUGCCUUGCGUUCUCCAGGAAUUCACGUAGAGGUAGUUAACUUGUUGGAAAUGCACCUUUGGUUUUUUUGGAGUGGAAAAACCGGUGCUAAUUGACAGGGUAGGAGAUGUCUGGGUAUGUUGGAGGAUUCCUUUUUCUUUAAAUGGAGGGGGAAAAAAGACAUGCAGAAUUUCUAUUUUGAUGAACUGACUCUAGGUGGCAACAACACGCUGUGUAGCCUUACCAGAGGCUAGUCAGGCAAAGACUAUUGAAUGCUUCUUACACAGAGGCAAAAAAAUGGUAGCAGUUUCAGUACUGCUUCUAGAAAAUUUUCUAGCUGAUUGCACCAGCUGCACAUUGCUAGAAACAUUUCCAGAUUCUGUCAGUUUUCAUUGUAAUAGAGGACCUGGUUUUUCAACACAUAUUUUGAAUAAGAUGCUGCAUGUUUCAUUUUGUAGGCAUAAUGCUGCAGGGAUGCAGAGGAAAAUUAGCAAACUAUUCUCUUUUGGUUAUCUUUUGUUUGGAUGGGCGAUCUCAGGAAGUGCAUAUAUAAUCCUGAUUUGUAAUGAUGCCUGUAAAAGUGCACAGAUGGGUAUGUACAAUUGCAGUUCUGUGGCAUUCACCAACGAUGCUCUUGAAAUGCCACUUCAUCACCUUGUCAAAAAACCAGCCGCACAGAUACCUACAAAAUGCCUGCCACAUCUUCUGUGUAAAACUGCUUUAUCUGCCAAAAGAUUUGUGAUGGCCUAUUUCACUCCUUCACUACAUAUCCAGCUUCCUGGGCUUAGCGGUAGAUAAGCAAACACUUGCACAAUAUAAAACUUUUCACAAGUAUGAUGAACUGCAGUGUUUUCGCAUUUUUCUCAAAAGUCAGUUUGACUGUUAACUCCACUGACCCUUGAAAUAUUUAAAUCUGUUAUUGAUGUGUUCAUAGACAUAGGGAGAAAGCAGAGAAAAAAAUACUAGUUUUGAUUACCUGUUGCAGCAAAGAAAGAACUGUCUUUGUAACCAUACUACAUACUAAUAAUGACCACAGAAAAUCUUUCAAGUGUCAUGACAUCAUGUUUGUAGCAAGGCCAAAGUGUCUGAUGGCAUCUACAGGAUAUGAUAAACUUCUUUAUUACUCUGUCAAAGUGACAAAGCUGUGAAACCCUGUGAUUAAAUCAGCUGUUUUGUAUAAUUGAGCCAUUCACCUGCAUGUUGUCAAUUAAUAUCCUCUGAGGCUACUUCCAGUAUUUCAAACCUCUAAGCUACUUUCAAAGGAAAGAACUGUCAUUUAAAACAUAAAAAUGUAUCACCUGAAAGCAAUUUCUUCCUUUCUUACCAAAGUGUGGAGUUUCCCUUUAAAUAAUACUGAAUCAGGUUUCCAGAUUCACAGUACUCUAAAUUAAUAUCUUAUAAUCCUCUAUAAACCUGGUAGACUGAUUUUUUUUUUUUAAUAAAUAUGUAUAAAUUAAUCAGGAUUUAUUCCUAGUAGGAAUACAUAAACCUAUCUGGGAUGAGAGUGCCCUAAAAAGGAAAAACAGAAUCCACUAACCCUUUAAGGUACUUUGUGUCAAUGUAUUUUGUGUAACGCUUAUUUUUAUUAGUUUUUCUUCCUUUCAUUUAAGCAGUAGUUUCACUAUACAUUUUUCAAAAAGUGGGGACAUGAUGGUAAAAAUAAUGGAAACACAAUUGGAAAAAUUGGUUUUAUCUAUUACAUAUUGUCCACAUACAUAUCAUAAUAUAUUGUUUUUCAAGUUUCCUUGUGUUAAAAAGGCAUAUCUGUGUAAAAACAAUGCUGCUAACCGUGGUGGGUGUUUUCAGUUGUAUUCUGAGAUACCCACACUUACUUGGAGGCACGUGUACCACCCCAAGAGGUGAGGUGUGACAGUUGAGUACACGAGCACUGAAGGCGCAUUUUGGACAGGCCCUGAGAUCCUUCUCAACUCGUCUCCCGCACAGCUUGAGGAGACUCUUGAUAAACUAUCAUCACGUAAAGCUAUCAUAACACCCGUCCUGUACUAUCUGUGGUAACCCUCAAAUGGAAAAAGUGACACUUUCAUUACAACCACUGCGGCUGUUUUCAGGAGUCACUCACCUGUUUGUCUCCCCACAGGUGUCCCAUGUGUCACCCCCGCUUUCCGAUGCUAGUAGCUCUCAUUUCCCUCACGUGCCCUGCAUGCUCAUUAUUUUCUUUCUGCUUCCCAUACCCGGUGUCCCAUUCUCACCCCACAGUAGGCUCAUCUCACACUCCUUAGAGGUGGUAUUUUCAUGCCACAUUCCACAUCUUUUCCCAAAAAGCUUCGUCUACACUAAGAGUCUCUGCACUGUUUCUUCACCCAGUCGGACCUCUCCCCUCAGGCUGCUACCAGUUCUGUUUCCUUCCUUCCCUCUCCAUACCGAUACUUCUGUUGAUCCUUUCACAGGUUGCUUAAGCUGUGGUUUUCUCUUUCUCCUUCAUGCCAGAUCUGUGUUGCACUGCGGGACUCCAUACUAGAAAUCCACCUUUCCUCCUGUCCUGGUUUCGGCUGGGACAGAGUUAAUUUUCUUUCUAGUAUUGUUAUUAUUUUCUUCCUUUCUGUCCUAUUAAGCUGUUCUUUUCU
Aquila chrysaetos chrysaetos is the source of this 11456-nucleotide long non-coding RNA. RefSeq lists it as uncharacterized. Lineage: Eukaryota; Metazoa; Chordata; Aves; Accipitriformes; Accipitridae. The record is from RefSeq and is a predicted model, not a curated record. The transcript is spliced from 3 exons.